UUUAUGGAGAGUUUGAUCCUGGCUCAGGACGAACGCUGGCGGCGUGCUUAACACAUGCAAGUCGAACGGAAAGGCCUAGCUUGCUAGGUACUCGAGUGGCGAACGGGUGAGUAACACGUGGGUGAUCUGCCUCGUACUUCGGGAUAAGCCUGGGAAACUGGGUCUAAUACUGGAUAGGACCAUGCUUUAGUGUGUGUGGUGGAAAGUUUUUUCGGUACGAGAUGAGCCCGCGGCCUAUCAGCUUGUUGGUGGGGUAAUGGCCUACCAAGGCGUCGACGGGUAGCCGGCCUGAGAGGGUGGACGGCCACAUUGGGACUGAGAUACGGCCCAGACUCCUACGGGAGGCAGCAGUGGGGAAUAUUGCACAAUGGGCGCAAGCCUGAUGCAGCGACGCCGCGUGGGGGAUGACGGCCUUCGGGUUGUAAACCUCUUUCGCUAGGGACGAAGCUUUUGUGACGGUACCUAGAUAAGAAGCACCGGCUAACUACGUGCCAGCAGCCGCGGUAAUACGUAGGGUGCGAGCGUUGUCCGGAAUUACUGGGCGUAAAGAGCUCGUAGGUGGUUUGUCGCGUCGUCUGUGAAAUUCCGGGGCUUAACUUCGGGCGUGCAGGCGAUACGGGCAUAACUUGAGUGCUGUAGGGGAGACUGGAAUUCCUGGUGUAGCGGUGGAAUGCGCAGAUAUCAGGAGGAACACCGAUGGCGAAGGCAGGUCUCUGGGCAGUAACUGACGCUGAGGAGCGAAAGCAUGGGGAGCGAACAGGAUUAGAUACCCUGGUAGUCCAUGCCGUAAACGGUGGGCGCUAGGUGUGAGGGUCUUCCACGACUUUCGUGCCGUAGCUAACGCAUUAAGCGCCCCGCCUGGGGAGUACGGCCGCAAGGCUAAAACUCAAAGGAAUUGACGGGGGCCCGCACAAGCGGCGGAGCAUGUGGAUUAAUUCGAUGCAACGCGAAGAACCUUACCUGGGCUUGACAU
This 973-nucleotide ribosomal RNA is filed under the name Corynebacterium diphtheriae bv. mitis. RNAcentral's name for it is "bacterial SSU rRNA". It matches the Rfam family "Bacterial small subunit ribosomal RNA", at positions 1 to 987 of the family's 1533-position model. The record is from RNAcentral. Lineage: Bacteria; Bacillati; Actinomycetota; Actinomycetes; Mycobacteriales; Corynebacteriaceae.